This 460-nucleotide ribosomal RNA is filed under the name uncultured bacterium. RNAcentral's name for it is "partial 16S ribosomal RNA". It matches the Rfam family "Bacterial small subunit ribosomal RNA", at positions 338 to 795 of the family's 1533-position model. The record is from RNAcentral.
CCUACGGGAGGCUGCAGUGAGGAAUAUUGGUCAAUGGGCGCGAGCCUGAACCAGCCAAGUCGCGUGAGGGAGGACGGCCCUACGGGUUGUAAACCUCUUUUGCCGGGGAGCAACGGGCGGCACGUGUGGCGCCACUGAGAGUACCCGGAGAAAAAGCAUCGGCUAACUCCGUUACAGCAGCCGCGGUAAUACGGGGGAGGCGAGCGUGAUCCGGAUUGAUUGGGUUUAAAGGGUGCGUAGGCGGAUCGUUAAGUCAGUGGUCACAUUGAGGUGCUCAACCCCUUCCCGCCAUUGAAACUGGCGCUCUUGAGUGGAAGAGAAGUAUGCGGAAUGCGUGGUGUAGCGGUGAAAUGCAUAGAUAUCACGCAGAACCCCGAUUGCGAAGGCAGCAUGCCGGCUUCCGACUGACGCUGAAGCACGAAAGCGUGGGGAUCGAACAGGAUUAGAUACCCGGGUAGUC